This 520-nucleotide ribosomal RNA is filed under the name uncultured Glomeromycotina. Its description in RNAcentral is "SSU rRNA". It matches the Rfam family "Eukaryotic small subunit ribosomal RNA", at positions 569 to 1092 of the family's 1831-position model. Lineage: Eukaryota; Fungi; Glomeromycota. The record is from RNAcentral.
AGCAGCCGCGGUAAUUCCAGCUCCAAUAGCGUAUAUUAAAGUUGUUGCAGUUAAAAAGCUCGUAGUUGAAUUUCGGGGUUCUACCGUCGGUCGGGCUACCAAGUCUGUACUGGUGUGUAGAAUUUCUACUUUCUGGGGAACCAUCAUGUUAUUAAUUUGGCGUGGUGGGAAACCAGGACCUUUACCUUGAAAAAAUUAGAGUGUUCAAAGCAGGCUUACGUCUGAAUACAUUAGCAUGGAAUAAUAGAAUAGGACGGUGGUCCUGUUUUGUUGGUUUCUGAAUCACCGUAAUGAUUAAUAGGGAUAGUUGGGGGCAUUAGUAUUCAAUUGUCAGAGGUGAAAUUCUUGGAUUUAUUGAAGACUAACUUCUGCGAAAGCAUUUGCCAAGGAUGUUUUCAUUAAUCAAGAACGAAAGUUAGGGGAUCGAAGACGAUCAGAUACCGUCGUAGUCUUAACCAUAAACUAUGCCGACUAGGGAUCGGACGAUGUUAACCUUUAUUGACUCGUUCGGCGCCUUACG